Molecule: non-coding RNA, 282 nt
Organism: Paramuricea clavata
Lineage: Eukaryota; Metazoa; Cnidaria; Anthozoa; Malacalcyonacea; Plexauridae
Source: the annotation of a GenBank genome assembly
CUCUGAUUGAAUCUUUAAUGUAUUAUUGAAUAACUAUGCAAGAUGUUUGGCGCUUCUUAAACUGUGCGUUCCACCAUCGCUUAGUAUACUCUAUGGAUACCAAUCCUGGAUUUGGACCAACUUUUCCAUUCGCUCCAACCAUAUUUUCCAACCAUCUGUUCCACCCGACGAAGCCGGACUGCACCAGUGAAGGACCUUGAACUGUGAAAGAAACAUGUCCCGGGCAUCAACUCGAAAUUCAUCAUAAACAAGACGCUUUACGGAGCGUUAACUCGCUGGGGC